This 253-nucleotide long non-coding RNA is filed under the name Lotus japonicus. Its description in RNAcentral is "long non-coding RNA (LJAP_LNC000132)". Lineage: Eukaryota; Viridiplantae; Streptophyta; Magnoliopsida; Fabales; Fabaceae. The record is from RNAcentral.
AGGAGUCUUCCUUCGACUGUGCAAGUCUAUUGUACCGUUAUGGAUUCGGAUUGGACCGAGUGUGCCUCCAAGUAAGAUGAACGGUCUAAGAAUGAAGUAAGGAGGCCCGAAAGGAAGACAACCAAGCAUGUGGUGUAGUUUAGAUUCAUCCUCCAUUUCUCCCCAAGACUAAUCAAAGGAGUUAAUUAUUAUUUCCCUGAUUUCCUCCCCUAUUAAUGUAGCCUGGUCAACUUAGUAAUGUAUCUUUGACUAG